AUUAAUCAUACAUAAAGCUGUGCCAGUGGAUUGAUAGUAGUUACAAGUUGUUUAUGUUUUCUUGAAAGUAAAACGUUUUUCUUGGUUCCACUGUGUGCAUCCGUUUUGCUAAAAUUCCUUGGCAAUUUCCUUUUAGGUAAAUCCCCCACAAAAUGACAUGUUUUGUGGUACCUUUGACCCUUGUCAUCCUGACCUGUUCAAGAAAACACCUUGAAGACAAAUACAACCAGCCAUUUCCUGCAAGGUAAACAGCUUGAUAAACAGCAACAUCCUUCAUUACCAUGACAACAGCUCUGCCUCCAGGGAUUUCAAGUCCAGCCGUUCGUUUUCAUCAGAAAUGAAUAACAGAGCCAGUCGCUACACAAUAACGUAGACGCAAGCUUCAUUGGCCAAAGGUCACUUAUAUAAGGCAGGAAUUUCAGCUUGGCUGUCUGUCGUCUUCAGUGACUCCUCAUUACGAGAUUGAGUUCAAGAUGUCUUCAGGAACAUCCUACAUC
Acanthaster planci (crown-of-thorns starfish) is the source of this 497-nucleotide long non-coding RNA. Lineage: Eukaryota; Metazoa; Echinodermata; Asteroidea; Valvatida; Acanthasteridae. The record is from RefSeq and is a predicted model, not a curated record.